This 479-nucleotide ribosomal RNA is filed under the name uncultured bacterium. RNAcentral describes it as "partial 16S ribosomal RNA". It matches the Rfam family "Bacterial small subunit ribosomal RNA", at positions 28 to 507 of the family's 1533-position model. The record is from RNAcentral.
GAUGAACGCUAGGGGGAGGCCUAACACAUGCAAGCCGAGCGGUAGAGUUUCUUCGGAAACUUGAGAGCGGCGCACGGGUGCGUAACACGUGUGCAACCUACCUUUAUCUGGGGGAUAGCCUUUCGAAAGGAGGAUUAAUACCCCAUAAUAUAAUGAUUGGCAUCAAUUAUUAUUGAAAACUCCGGUGGAUAGAGAUGGGCACGCGCAAGAUUAGAUAGUUGGUGAGGUAACGGCUCACCAAGUCAAUGAUCUUUAGGGGUCCUGAGAGGGAGAUCCCCCACAAUGGUACUGAGACACGGACCAGACUGCUACGGGAGGCAGCAGUGAGGAAUAUUGGACAAGGGGUGAGAGCCUGAUCCAGCCAUCCCGCGUGAAGGAUGACGGUCCUAUGGAUUGUAAACUUCUUUUGUACAGGGAUAAACCUACCCUCGUGAGGGUAGCUGAAGGUACUGUACGAAUAAGCACCGGCUAACUCCGUG